RNAcentral lists this ribosomal RNA (853 nucleotides) under Plentuisa vendia. Its description in RNAcentral is "partial 16S ribosomal RNA". The record is from RNAcentral. Lineage: Eukaryota; Metazoa; Mollusca; Gastropoda; Stylommatophora; Geomitridae.
GUUUACAACAUAUAAAGUUUUAUAAUCACGAAGGGCAGUGAGCUAACAGUAGUCACUUAUUUAGGGUGUUUUUUAUAUGUAGCAUAAUAUAAGUAUUAGCAACUGUUAGGGGUGAUACGCCUUCAACCUGCCCGAUAUCUUGUUUUCUAGGAAAAGUAUUAAGUACUAAGACAACUUGGAAGUGCUAAGGCUCUCAAGAAAUAUAAAAUUGAGUGUAACUACUAUAAUUACCUAACGGUAUUUAUAUCAGAUGCAUAACUAUUAUUUAUACAUUAAUUAUUUAAUAUACUAGGAUGUGGAAUUAAACGUAAUAAUGUAUUAUUAAUGUAAACAUAAGUAAUAACAUUAACUUACUUAAAGGAACUCGGCAAAGUUAUUGCUCAACUGUUUAUCAAAAACAUAGUCAGGUGGUAAUAUACCUGAUGUCUCUCUGCUCAAUGGUUUACUAAAUAGCCGCAGUACCCUGACUGUGCAAAGGUAGCAUAAUCAUUUGGCUUAUGAUUGAAGUCUAGUAUGAAAGGGUGCAUGGGUAACUUCUGUCUCUAAUUAAUUCUAUUGAAAUUGCUUAAUAAGUGAAAAUACUUAUAUAUAUACAAUAGACGAGAAGACCCUAGAAAUUUUGUAUAGAUGUAUACUUAUGUACAAUAUAUUUUGUUGGGGCGACAAAGUAACAUUUAACUUACUUUAUUUAUAUGAAUUUACUGAUAUGCAAAAAUAAAUUACUCUAGGGAUAACAGCAUAAUUUAUAAUAGUUUGUGACCUCGAUGUUGGACUAGGGAGCGUAGUAUUUAGAAGAUACUACGCUAUGCUCUGUUCGAGCAACUAAUUCCUACAUGAUCUGAGUUCAGACCGG